This 253-nucleotide ribosomal RNA is filed under the name uncultured bacterium. RNAcentral's name for it is "partial 16S ribosomal RNA". It matches the Rfam family "Bacterial small subunit ribosomal RNA", at positions 524 to 776 of the family's 1533-position model. The record is from RNAcentral.
UACGUAGGGUCCGAGCGUUGUCCGGAAUUAUUGGGCGUAAAGCGCGCGCAGGCGGUUUCUUAAGUCUGAUGUGAAAGCCCACGGCUCAACCGUGGAGGGUCAUUGGAAACUGGGGAACUUGAGUGCAGAAGAGAAAAGCGGAAUUCCACGUGUAGCGGUGAAAUGCGUAGAGAUGUGGAGGAACACCAGUGGCGAAGGCGGCUUGCUGGGCCGACACUGACGCUGAGGCGCGAAAGCUAGGGGAGCGAACGGG